Xiphias gladius (swordfish) is the source of this 1282-nucleotide long non-coding RNA. RefSeq lists it as uncharacterized. Lineage: Eukaryota; Metazoa; Chordata; Actinopteri; Istiophoriformes; Xiphiidae. The record is from RefSeq and is a predicted model, not a curated record. The transcript is spliced from 4 exons.
CUGGAUGGAUGACUAACUGUUUCAACUCUACCCACGGGUUAAUAAGGGGGCAUCUCUGUUCCUCCGCCUUUCAAAUUAGUGGCCAAACAAUUUGAAUGCUAUGCUCCAUGAGGGAGCAUGAGACUGAAGAACAACACCCGUAACUGUGCCAGCUGAACUCAGGGAAACACCAUGACAGUAUUUCAUUUCAGAGCCAAAUCUUACCAGCCGCCAAAAGCACCACCAACACUGUCUGAGAAUCACCUGACAAAAGGUUUUCCAGAAAAAGCAGGCAGACUCUGUCAAAGACGUGAGGAGCUGCACUUAGGACAGAAUAGGAAGAGUGGAGAGAAAUGGACAGUCGGAGCGAGGGAUGGAAGGACCUGUGAUUUAGGACUGAACGGACAGACAGAGGAGAGGGAGCUCUUUGAUGUGCCCAUACUGAACCCGCGGUACACUUUACAACUAAAUUUCCCACGGUCCCCGGGACGACCUCGUGGGCCUGAGGCGGCGAGCUCACACUUGGAAGUGCGUGGAUGCCAGCUCAAGUACGUCCGCACGCAGUGCAAAUCCCACCGCAACACGAUACGCGCACUGGGCUUUCGUGCCCGGAACCCUGGGGGCAGGGAGACCUCGGCGUGUCACGGGAAAGCAGCGAGAAAAUGCGAUCUGCUCGGCUGAGCUCCAGGCGUUACGCAGCCGCGGCAGCGUGCCCACGUGCGUAUAGCUGUCACUGGAGCAGACGUAGCUGGAUGUGCGGGGGCGCAUGGAAACAAGGUCGUCCACCGUGGCUUCAGCGACGGGAAGCAUGGCCCGUGUGGGGGCCGCGGCGCAGUCACUGCCGUCUCCAGGUUGACACCCCGACUUCGAAGAGUUGGACUCAGCUCUGUCGCUGGAGCGGCGGAAAGAGAGCUAGCUACCUGGGGAAAGGCGUUAUCUCAUAAUGGCAGAGAAUGAAAGAUUUUGGUGACGACCCGCAUCAGUGUUCAAGUCCUCCAGUUUGAGGCCUUGAGGGAGGUGCAAUCAAGCUGAUGAAUCUCUCCACUGAAGCUCAUCCUCGCCAUGGAAAUAUAGCCAGCAACAACAACAGCCUCUGCUCAGUGGCAUGCCCUAUCCCUUUAUCUUUUUGCAGUGUAACGCUCCAACAAAUGUUAAAAAGAACUACAGCGUCAGGAGGGGAAACGCUGUGAAUAAAGUAAGCUGCUGUCCGUGAGGCUGGCACACAUCAGAAACAGUUCUUUUGAAAGGUGAUCUUUAAAAGUGUACACUCUGCCAAGGGAUGAAAACAUAGAAAAUUGUGGUA